Molecule: long non-coding RNA, 563 nt
Filed under: Mytilus galloprovincialis (Mediterranean mussel)
Lineage: Eukaryota; Metazoa; Mollusca; Bivalvia; Mytilida; Mytilidae
Source: RNAcentral
ACAACCUUUUCAGUCUCAUUUAGGGGCAUUAUGUUUUUGGGUCUGUGCGACUGUUUGUUCGUUCAUUUGUCACGUUCAGUUUCAGGUUCAAGUCUUUGGUCAAGGUAGUUUUUGAGGGAGUUGAAGUCCAAUCAACUUGAAACUUAGUACACAUGUUUUCUAUGAUAUGAUCUUUCUAAUUUUCUAAUUUUAAUCCCAAAUUAGAGUUAUGACCCUAAUUGCACGGUCCACUAAACUGUGCAGGUUGGGCAUCCGUGUACUAUGGACACAUUCUUUUUUAAAUUGUUCACCAAAACUUCAGUGUGUCAUGGGCCUCAUGGGUGAGGGCAGCGUAUUUACAAAUUGGAGAAAUGAGAUGUAAUUCGUCUUGAUCAUCAUCAUUUUUCAUCAUCUGUCUUUUGUUCAACUUUUGUUAUUGCUUUUAUGUAUGAUUGGUAGCUAAGGUCAUUUCAUUGGAUGGUCGAUUUUCAUGCAUAAAUUAUAUCCCCUCCAUUGAAUUAUUGUUUAAUGCAUUCAACAAACACAGAUGGGAAUUUGGAAAAUAUUUCUUCUCUCAGGUUAUA